Molecule: transfer RNA, 75 nt
Filed under: Alphaproteobacteria bacterium
Lineage: Bacteria; Pseudomonadati; Pseudomonadota; Alphaproteobacteria
Description: tRNA-Thr
Rfam family: tRNA
About the family: Transfer RNA (tRNA) molecules are approximately 80 nucleotides in length.
Source: RNAcentral
GCCCACAUAGCUCAGGGGUAGAGCACCCCCUUGGUAAGGGGGAGGUCGAAAGUUCGAAUCUUUCUGUGGGCACCA